UCUGUUUCUCCUCUCGAACGAAUCGGACCACCCUCUUCACCGCCGUCGAGCACGGCACCGCCGCUUUGCCGGCGGCGGCGGCGGCGGAGAUGAAUGUUCAAGCAGGAAGGAUGCAAUGUAGACGUUUGCUGCUGGCCGGCGUUGGCAGGGGAAAAUUUUGGUUCUUCUCGGCCGGGUGAAUCGUGAUUUUACUGGGUAUCUCGCCUCCGCCGAAUGCGUGGGACGAUUCACACCCGCGCGUGUACUGUAGGUGUAAUUUCCCCCCAUUUUUGCAGUUCCAAGUAGAAAAUUUUCAUUUCAAUACUGAUUCUGAAUACAUUUUGGUCGGUUUGAUGAAAGAUUCGCAGCUACACCUUGGAUUUCUGUAUAUCAUGUUGGAAUCUUAGAUGCUGAUGAAAUGAUUGGACUGAAACCGUUCUCACCCACCAGCACUACUGAUGGUUUGGGUCAUCUUAUAUGUGCCUUCUGAUUAUGGAUUUC
Molecule: non-coding RNA, 480 nt
Organism: Oryza sativa Japonica Group (Japanese rice)
Lineage: Eukaryota; Viridiplantae; Streptophyta; Magnoliopsida; Poales; Poaceae
Source: RefSeq, a predicted model, not a curated record